GUUAAAUUUCUUUGUAUUCUCCAUAUUGUUGAAUUAAUAAACAUUGUCUUUUGCCAUUAAUCCUUGCUAAAUUGCUUUGUAUUCUCCAUAUUGUUGAAUUAGUAAACAUCGUCCUUUGCCAUUAAUCCUUUGUUUUUUUCUUUACUUCUAAACCUUGUUUUUCGGUGUGUGAUCUAGUAUACUUCAAUAUUGUCAUUACAAUUUCGUUCUCUACAAUCCAGUUUGGAAUCAACGUGUGUUAUUGAAGUUUUCGCGCCCUAACAACUGGUAUCAGAGCGAGGCUAUUGAUUUUUCUAUGGAUUGGUUGAGAUUUUUUCCAAGAUGGCUGGGUUGAAGUAUGAUAUUCCGCAAUUAGAUCGCAAUACAAUGUUCUCGUUGUGGCAAGUCAAGAUGAGGGCUGUUCUGGCGCAGUUGGAUUUGGAAGAUUCGUUGCUGGGUUUUGAGAGGAUGCCAGCUAGAUGGACAACGGAGGAGAAACAAAGGAAGGAUCGAAAGGCUACGUCAUUGAUUUAUCUUCAUCUGUCCAACAACAUUCUGUAAGAUGUCUUGAAGGAGAAAUCGGUGGUUGCUUUAUGGUUGAGGUUGGAACAUUUGUGUAUGACUAAGAGUCUUACAAGUAAACUGGCUCUUAAGCAGAAGUUAUAUUCCCAUCACAUGGUGGAAGGAGAGUCGUUGGAAGUCCAUAUUACCAUGUUUAAGGAAAUAGUUGUAGAUUUGGAGACGUUAAAGGUUAAGUACGAUGAAGAGGAUCUUGUCUUGAUUCUGUUGUGCUCACUACCUGGGUCUUAUGUGUCGUUUCAAGAUACUAUCUUUUAUAGUUGAGAUAUUUUGACUAUAGAAAAUGUCUACGAUACUUUACACUCAAAUGAGAAGAUGAAGCAUUUGGUUGGAGUUACAUCAAGGGAUGAGAAAGUGAUGAGUGAUUUACACUCAUUAUAUUAUGUCAUUAAUUUCAUGAUUUUACUAUCUUGGAGAGUAUUUUAGAAGUGCUAACAAGUGAUUUUGGUGUUGUUUUGUAGAUUGGUGGAAGUGGAGAAAACAAGAGCUAAAAGAGGCCAAAGGAAGGGAAUAGGCAAAAGUUAGCAAAAUUUGAUGAAAUGACCAAAAUGUAAGAGAUCCAAAGUUCGAGGAUUAAAAUGCAAUUAAUCAAAAGUCGUAUCAAAACUCAUGAUGAAGAUCCGAGAGUGCUAGGAGUCAAUUGGAUGAAGGAAGGUGUCAAAGGGAUCAAAUUUAGUCAAAAUAUGAUCACAAAUUAUUUUCCAACCGAAAAGUUACGCUCUGGAGUUUUGGUCUCACAUUGAGACCUAUUUCUGACAUAGCAAACCAUCGAAUUGGGAGAUGAUGUUUGAAGAAAAGUUAUAUUCCUUUGAGUUACCUUUCCAACGCAUCUUGAAUCAUUUCAAUCGGACAUCGGAUGAAGAAGUUAUGGCAAAAAUACUGAAAGAGGUGAACAUUACCUUUUCCACCCGAAGUGGGUGCCAUGUGUUGAAAACAACAGUGAACGUGAUGCCGUGGCGCUGCCUGUGCGGAAAAAUGGGAUUUUAUAUUUUUGGAAUCUUUUCUUGGCCCAACUCAACCCUAAUUCGUCCAAUAACCCCAACAUACUAUAAAUACCAUAAAAAAACCCUAUUUUCAAAGGAGGAUGGAAGGGGGCAAGAUUGAAGAAUUCAACCAUACAAUUUGAAAGAGGCAAAAAUUGAAGACAUCAAAAGGAAGGAGGAACAACAUCAAGGAAGAAAAUUGAAGAUCUACCCAAAAGACUAGUUUUUUCUAUUCUUUUCCUAAUGUUGUUUAUUAUAAUUUGUAUGAUUUUCAUUUAUUACACCAUGAAUUAAACAAUUUAUCUAGGGG
RNAcentral lists this long non-coding RNA (1851 nucleotides) under Olea europaea subsp. europaea. The record is from RNAcentral. Lineage: Eukaryota; Viridiplantae; Streptophyta; Magnoliopsida; Lamiales; Oleaceae.